Molecule: ribosomal RNA, 468 nt
Filed under: uncultured bacterium
Lineage: Bacteria
Description: partial 16S ribosomal RNA
Rfam family: Bacterial small subunit ribosomal RNA
Source: RNAcentral
GACGAACGCUGGCGGCGUGCUUAACACAUGCAAGUCGAACGGUAAAGCCCUGCUUUUUUUGUGUGCUCGUGUCGCGCGCGUGUGUGUCACACGUGCGUCCCCUCCCCUUCUCUGUGAUAUACCCUCAAGACACUGGGUCUUAUACCGUAUCAGCUCUCCUGCUGCAUUCUGCAGUUUGGAAAGUUUCUGCGGUUGGGGAUGGACUCCCGGCUUAUCAGCUUGUUGUUGGGGUAAUGGCUUACCAAGGCUUUGACGGGUAGCCGGCCUGAGAGGGUGACCGGCCACAGUGGGACUGAGAUACGGCCCAGACUCCUACGGGAGGCAGCAGUGGGGAAUAUUGCACAAUGGGCGGAAGCCUGAUGCAGCAACGCCGCGUGAGGGAUGACGGCCUUCGGGUUGUAAACCGCUUUCGCCAGGGAAGAAGCGUGAGUGACGGUAAUGGGUAAAGAAGCACCGGCUAACUACGUG